AACGAACGCUGGCGGCGUGCUUAACACAUGCAAGUCGAACGGAAAGGCUCCAGCUUGCUGGAGUACUCGAGUGGCGAACGGGUGAGUAACACGUGGGUAAUCUGCCCUGCACUCUGGGAUAAGCCUGGGAAACUGGGUCUAAUACUGGAUAUGACCUUUCUCCUUAUGGGGUUUGGUGGAAAGUUUUUCGGUGUAGGAUGAGCCCGCGGCCUAUCAGCUUGUUGGUGGGGUGAUGGCCUACCAAGGCGACGACGGGUAGCCGGCCUGAGAGGGUGAUCGGCCACAUUGGGACUGAGAUACGGCCCAGACUCCUACGGGAGGCAGCAGUGGGGAAUAUUGCACAAUGGGCGGAAGCCUGAUGCAGCGACGCCGCGUGAGGGAUGACGGCCUUCGGGUUGUAAACCUCUUUCAGCAGGGACGAAGCGUAAGUGACGGUACCUGCAGAAGAAGCACCGGCUAACUAUGUG
RNAcentral lists this ribosomal RNA (467 nucleotides) under uncultured bacterium. RNAcentral describes it as "partial 16S ribosomal RNA". It matches the Rfam family "Bacterial small subunit ribosomal RNA", at positions 29 to 507 of the family's 1533-position model. The record is from RNAcentral.